This 366-nucleotide long non-coding RNA is filed under the name Mytilus galloprovincialis (Mediterranean mussel). Lineage: Eukaryota; Metazoa; Mollusca; Bivalvia; Mytilida; Mytilidae. The record is from RNAcentral.
UUUUUUUUUUUCGUUUUUUUUUGCCCUGACAUUGUGAGUUUGUUAAGACUUAUGAAUUCGAAUAUCCCUUUGGUAUCUUUCAGCUUUUUUAAUUAAGUACUCGACAAUUCCUUGUUGAACUCUACAUGUCUUUAGUAAAUCUUGUUUUUUGGUUGCUGUUUCACUGUUGUGUCUUAUAACUUUUUCUUUUUAUUCAUAAUGAUCUACUUUACUACUUCACAAGACUACCUGGUAAAAUAAUAAUAAAGCUGAUUUCAUUUUAAAUAUUAUUUUCUAUAUGUUCUUUUUUGAUUAUGUCAAAAACUACACAGUGAAAUAAUAAUAAAGUUAAUUUCAUUUUAAAUUUAUUUUCUAGAAAAGUUUUUC